GAUGGCUGGCAUAAGGGCGAAUGGUGGAUGCCUAGACAUCAAAAGGCGAUGAAGGACGCAGCGUAGCGGCGAUACGCCUCGGGAAGGUGCGUAGCAACCGAUGAUCCGGGGAUUUCCGAAUGGGGCAACCCAAUUGAGUAAACCUCAAUUACCUUGGCGCAAGCUAAGGUGCGAACCUAGGGAAGUAAAACAUUUCAGUACCUAGAGGAAUAAAAAACAAAAUUCGUUCUCUGUUUACAGAGAACCAUACCCUGAGUAGCGGCGAGCGAAACGGGCAUAGCCUAAACCAGAAGUUUUUCGCAAGAUUAGUUUUUGGGGUUACAAGAAUUAGACACUGGAUUUAACCGGUGGGCAGAACUCUAGUGCCCAGCGGUUAGGUCUAAGGGAAAGUUACAAAAUCGUUUGUUAGUCGAAUUUGCUGGAAAGCAAAGCCAGAGCGGGUGAUAGCCCCGUAGACGAAAACAUACGAACUUUUUAGUCUUUUUUCUUAAGUACUUCAAGGUAAGAAAGCCUUGAAGGAAGUCGCCUGUACUAUCAGGCAAGGCUAAAUACUUUUGAUGAUCGAUAGUGAACUAGUACCGUGAGGGAAAGGUGAAAAGCAGGCCGGUGAGGCCGUUGAAAUAGAACCUGAAACCAUUUGUCUACAAGGAACUAAAGUCCUUAUCUUGCGCAGCAAUGCGCGAGAUGGACAAUAGUGUGCCUAUUGAAGAAUGAUCCAACGACUUUGUGCGCGUGGCUCGGAUAAUCCGCUUAGGCGGAGGAUCCACAGGGAAACCAAGUCUUAAAAGGGCAUACUCCUUUAUUGGAGUGGUCGCGCGCAUAAGACUCGAAGCCGGAAGAGCUUGCCUUGGGCAGGAUGAACAUGGGAGAAAUCUCAUGGGAGGUCCGUACCGGUGAGUUGUGCAACACUCUCGGAUGACCUGAGGUAAGGAGUGAAAAGCUAAUCGAUUUCGGUAAUAGCUAGUUCUCUCCGAAAUAGUUUUAGGACUAGCGGCAUGAAGUACCCGGUGGGGGUAGAGCACUGGAUGAUAGGUAAUAGUCGAAAGACUGACCAAUCAAUCAAACUCCGAAUACCAUCGGCGGUAUCAUGGUAGUCAGUAUGCGGGGGCUAAGCUCCGUGUACGUGAGGGGAACAGCCCAGACCACAAGCUAAGGUCCCUAAAUUUGUGCUAAGUGUGAAAGGCAGUUUUGUACCGUUGACAGAUAGGAGGUUGGCUUAGAGGUAGCCAUCCUUUAAAGAGUGUGUAACAACUCACUAUUCGAUUGGUAUGGGGCGCCGA
This 1280-nucleotide ribosomal RNA is filed under the name bacterium. RNAcentral's name for it is "partial 23S ribosomal RNA". It matches the Rfam family "Bacterial large subunit ribosomal RNA", at positions 1 to 1167 of the family's 2925-position model. The record is from RNAcentral.